GACGAACGCUGGCGGCGUGCUUAACACAUGCAAGUCGAACGGAAAGACCCCCUUGUGUGGUACCCGAGUGGCGAACGGGUGAGUAACACGUGAGUAACCUACCCUGGACUUUGGGAUAACUUCAGGAAACUGGGGCUAAUACCGUAUAGGAUCUCCUUCUGCAUGGUGGGGGUUGGAAAGUUUCGGCGGUUGGGGAUGGACUGGCGGCUGAUCAGCUUGUUGGUCGGGUAGUGGUUCACCACGGCCUAGACGGAUAGCCGGCAUGAGAGGGGGGCCGGCGCCAUGGGGACUGCGAUAGGGCGCAGACUCCUACGGGAGGCAACGGUGGGGAGUAUGACACAGUGGGCGGAAGUGUGAUAAGGAAGCGCCGGGUGCGUGAUGAGGGCCUUCGAGUAGUAAACCGCUUUCGGCUGUGACGGAGCGUUAGUGACGGUAAUUGCUAAAGAAGCACCGGCUAACUACGUG
This 465-nucleotide ribosomal RNA is filed under the name uncultured bacterium. Its description in RNAcentral is "partial 16S ribosomal RNA". It matches the Rfam family "Bacterial small subunit ribosomal RNA", at positions 28 to 507 of the family's 1533-position model. The record is from RNAcentral.